AAACUUGAGAGUUUGAUCAUGGCUCAGAACGUACGCUGGCGGCACGCCUAACACAUGCAAGUCGAACGAAGUAGCAAUACUUAGUGGCAGACGGGUGAGUAACAUGUAGGUAUCUGCCCUUUGGCCUGGAAUAACACGAGGAAACUUGUGCUAAUACCGGAUAAGUCUUUACGGAGAAAGCUUUAUGCACCAUUGGAUGAGCCUGCACUUGAUUAGUUUGUUGGUGGGGUAAUGGCCUACCAAGACUGUGAUCAAUAGCUGAUUUGAGAGGAUGAUCAGCCACAUUGGGACUGAGACACGGCCCAAACUCCUACGGGAGGCAGCAGUGGGGAAUCUUGCACAAUGGAGGAAACUCUGAUGCAGCGAUGCCGCGUGAGUGAAGAAGGCCCUUGGGUUGUAAAGCUCUUUCGUCGGGGAAGAAAAUGACUGUACCCGAAUAAGAAGGUCCGGCUAACUUCGUGCCAGCAGCCGCGGUAAUACGAAGGGACCUAGCGUAGUUCGGAAUUACUGGGCUUAAAGAGUUCGUAGGUGGUUGAAAAAGUUAGUGGUGAAAUCCCAGAGCUUAACUCUGGAACUGCCAUUAAAACUUUUCAGCUAGAGUAUGAUAGAGGAAAGCAGAAUUUCUAGUGUAGAGGUGAAAUUCGUAGAUAUUAGAAAGAAUACCAAUUGCGAAGGCAGCUUUCUGGAUCAUUACUGACACUGAGGAACGAAAGCAUGGGUAGCGAAGAGGAUUAGAUACCCUCGUAGUCCAUGCCGUAAACGAUGUGUGUUAGACGUUGGAAAUUUAUUUUCAGUGUCGCAGGGAAACCGAUAAACACACCGCCUGGGGAGUACGACCGCAAGGUUAAAACUCAAAUGAAUUGACGGGGACCCGCACAAGUAGUGGAGCAUGUGGUUUAAUUCGAAGAUACGCGCAGAACCUUACCAACACUUGACAUGUUCGUCGCGACUCUAAGAGAUUAGAGUUUUCGGUUCGGCCGGACGAAACACAGGUGCUGCAUGGCUGUCGUCAGCUCGUGUCGUGAGAUGUUGGGUUAAGUCCCGCAACGAGCGCAACCCUCACUUUUAGUUGCCAUCAUUAAGUUGGGCACUCUGAAAGAACUGCCAGUGAUAAGCUGGAGGAAGGUGGGGAUGACGUCAAGUCCUCAUGGCCCUUACGUGUUGGGCUACACACGUGCUACAAUGGUAUCUACAACAGGAAGCAAGACGGCGACGUCAAGCAAAUCCCUAAAAGAUACCUCAGUUCGGAUUGCACUCUGCAACUCGAGUGCAUGAAGCUGGAAUUACUAGUAAUCGUGGAUCAGCGUGCCACGGUGAAUGCGUUCCCGGGUCUUGUACACACCGCCCGUCACACCAUGGGAGUUGGUUCUACCUUAAGGCAAGGUUUCAAACCCUUGACCACGGUAUAGUCAGCGACUGGGGUGAAGUCGUAACAAGGUAGCCGUAGGGGAACCUGCGGCUGGAUUACCUCCUUU
RNAcentral lists this ribosomal RNA (1475 nucleotides) under Candidatus Pelagibacter sp. RNAcentral's name for it is "bacterial SSU rRNA". It matches the Rfam family "Bacterial small subunit ribosomal RNA". Lineage: Bacteria; Pseudomonadati; Pseudomonadota; Alphaproteobacteria; Candidatus Pelagibacterales; Candidatus Pelagibacteraceae. The record is from RNAcentral.